RNAcentral lists this small nuclear RNA (109 nucleotides) under Nicotiana attenuata. The record is from RNAcentral. Lineage: Eukaryota; Viridiplantae; Streptophyta; Magnoliopsida; Solanales; Solanaceae.
GUCCCAAUUUUAUUGGGGACAUCCGAUAAAAUUGGAACGAUACAGAGUAGAUUACCAUGGCCCCUGCGCAAGGAUGACACGCACAAACCGAGAAAUAGUCCAAAAAAGG